CUGUUAAACGCGUCAGUCCUUAGGGUUUCUUAAGAUUAAACAUUAUGUUUUGUGAAAGUCAAAGCUAAAAAGUCCACACAUAAUUAGUAAAGCUGUUGUUAAUGGGUUUUGUAGAUGGAAUAAUGUGUGAUUGUGUACAUUUUCUUUACAGGUUCACCACAUUUAUAGUGCUUUUUUUUUGGUGCCUGGCUGACAUAUAAAAUCACCAUCCACUUUCAACAGCAGCUCAGAUGUUCUGCAAAAAUUUUCCUUGUGUUCCCCAAAAGAAAAAAGGUUCACACACACACACCAGGAGGGAUCUGAAGCCCACACGACACAGACACCUCAACCGAAUGUAAAACAAACACUCUCGAUUUCACUCUUCAAAAAGACGUUCACCACCUUCAAAGCUUUACGACGAAAGCGGAGCGGAACGCUCCAAAACACAGGCAACAAACAACUCGUUUAUACAUUCUCCUAAUUCCUCUCCGACGGGCCUCGAUGUCUUUCUUCAGCAACAGACUGUUGGGGAUCACGGCUUCAACGUUGCAGUUUUAAGACUCAGCCGUCUCCCCUCCCCGCUCCUCCGUAUCUCUGUGAUAAACGCCGGAGCAAAUUCAAAGCCAAACAAACACGGAUUCAAAGAAAGAUUUUUGUGGCAACUUAAGGAAAGCGCAUGUUCGUGACAACGUGUCGCCGGGGAGUUUGUUCAGUCGGUGCUCGCUCAGAUAGACCCUGGCUGCUCAUCCUGAGCAGGGAAGUGCAUUUGCUUGAUUAUCAUUAAAAAAAGAGAGAUGAUGUCUUCAGAAGUCAGAGGGGAUAUUUAUCAGCCUCGCAGUUGGAGACGUGAUGGCGUGUCUCUUCUAAUAGAACAGCCUCAAGGCUCUGGGCCUGUGUGCGCAGGUUAUGAUCCCAUGAGAAGUGAAUAAGUAAAGCGCUGACUGAUCACAUGUAUUUACUUCAUGCUUGCCUUUUGUCCUGUAAUGAAUAUCAAUGAAUGAAAUGGCGAAUGUGGAUGGGUAACGUAUGCUAUUAGAUGGCAUACUUAUUCAAAUGAAUAUUAUUGCAACGUAAAGUGGUGCAGACUAUAUGACACAACAGAUAAGGCUUUUUAGCAUUUACAUUUACCAUUACAAACCAUAGUUCAUAACAAAAUAAAACAGUAAAUUCAUAAUAAAUUACUGAAGGAUCUCUUUCAGCAAGCUGAAAAAAGCUGCUUUGCUGGUUUGAACUGGUCUUACAGCCUGCAGUAAAACAGACCAGGCUGGUUUAAAGUUUCUUAAAGCAGGGUUUGUUGAAACCUUUUCAACAUUUGCCUGUUUGAAAUCCAUUUUACUUCAGUAACUGACAUAUUUAUGAGUAAAAAUCAUAUUCACUGAGAACAAAUUUUAUUGUGUGGGAUUUGUGACGUGAGCUAAAACAGAAAGUCAUUUAAACAAAUGACUACAUUUGGAAAAUGUUUGAAAUUUUGGAUUUAAUAUAUACUGAUGAAUCAUACACAAUGAAACCAGGAAAGUUUUAAUAAUAAAUACGGAUACCAUGGUAAUUUUUCUUUAUCAUGGUAAAGGAAUAGUUUGGGUCUAAAUUUAAGAUCACAUGUUUGUGAAUAAGAAAUGAAUUUAUAAUUAUGUAAUCAAAGUUAGGAAGAUUUACAGCGAUUCCUUUUUUAUUACUAGCUGUGUUCUCUUGCAGACUAAACUGUGAAAGCUCCGUAAAUCACUCUAUUUUUAUAGGUGCAUAUAUUUAUUUUAUUUCCACGACAUACUUUUACUACUUCUUGCUCAAACUUCAUACAAAACAAAAGGAAAAACAACAUGACCUGUUAUCAGUUUUUAUUCAAAAUCCCAUACCUGUCUGAAAGCAAAUGUUCAGACAAGAAAGAGAAGCUCACAAAGACGGAGAGGAGGGAGCGCCGCAGGAAAGUUCCACAUGCAAUCUUUUUUGUUUGUUUGCGAGUGUAAACGCAGUUGUGAUGAAAUAUUGAUGCUCCCUUCCAAACUGUCUUGUAAGUCGUCUCCGUUCUUUCAGGCUUUCCAUCUGUAGCACCUGAGGAAGAGGACGGGAAUGCCGGGCUGUCAGGAGAGAUGAGCUCACGCUCUCAGAGGCAGGCUGUCAAAUGCGACACAUCCUCUUCAAGAGCAGACACAAGAGCAAACUUCCGCUAUACUCCUCGAUCUUUGUCUCUUUCUCUAUCUGUUACGUUAUCUUUCUUUCUUUAUCUGUUCUUCUCCUUUACACUUUCUAUUUGAAAUGUAGGACAGUAGCUAUGGCGGACUUGUGCAUCAUGACCUAUGGAAUCAGAGGUGUCCUUCAUUUGUAGGACAGACAUUCAGGACAGAAGAAAGAAAGAAAGACAUAUGGGUUUAGAACAAUAUAAUGGACAAAAGAAUCAAAAUGAUCCAAUUCCUUCCUAAUUCAUGGAAAUGGAAAGGGGGAGGAGGGUUCCUGUCAGGAAGGAGACAUGGAGCGCUGCUCCACUCAGCCAUCUAUAAAAGACUGGCACUGAAAUCAGCAGCAUUUGCAUAUGAGGGUGGUGUAUGAAGCUGUGUUUGCCUCCGGCAGAUCCCCCUGGCAGUCUCUGAGAGCUGCCAUCUUCUUCUGCCAGCCCUCCAUUAGGCCUGUAAGGUGUGUCAGUCAGCUCUCGUACACAGGGGCUUAUGGGAAGACUGCGGGGAAGUGAGGAGUGAACGGUAACUUGUAGCACGCACACACACGACUCACCCACACAUGCCAGCGUGUGUCAAAUUAGGACAAGCAGGGGACAAUUAAACUCUCUGUCUCUUACACACUCCCUCACACAAACACAUAUACACAAAGUUGGCUGUGGAUGCAGUUGUCUCAGACCUCUUCCUCUUGUCUUCUCGUCUCUUUCUCCAGAUGAGUGUAUGUACUGCUGCAACUCUACAGUAACACACUGUCCUAACCAGGCACGAUCAGCCGCGCUUCUAGACAGUUUACAGUGGGUGGCCGCAGUGAAAAGUGUGUGAUGUGUCAAACUUGGUUUAUAAAAUAUUGCACUGAAAGCAUAUGUCAACAAUAAGAGUGCAGUAUAGAUGCUUAUAUGCAUAAAAUAUGCAUUCUGCAGAAUUUAGUUUUUUUUUUUUAAGUGACUUACAUUGUAUUCAAGUACAGAGCGCCGCACAUGGCAUACAGGAGAAAAAAAUAGUAGGCUAAAUCG
Long non-coding RNA from Cyprinus carpio (common carp), 3157 nucleotides. RefSeq lists it as uncharacterized. NCBI's taxonomy places the organism in Eukaryota, Metazoa, Chordata, Actinopteri, Cypriniformes, Cyprinidae. The transcript is spliced from 6 exons. The record is from RefSeq and is a predicted model, not a curated record.